This 498-nucleotide ribosomal RNA is filed under the name uncultured bacterium. Its description in RNAcentral is "partial 16S ribosomal RNA". It matches the Rfam family "Bacterial small subunit ribosomal RNA", at positions 30 to 523 of the family's 1533-position model. The record is from RNAcentral.
AUUGAACGCUGGCGGCAUGCCUUACACAUGCAAGUCGAACGGUAACAGGUCUUCGGACGCUGACGAGUGGCGAACGGGUGAGUAAUACAUCGGAACGUGCCUAGUAGUGGGGGAUAACUACUCGAAAGAGUGGCUAAUACCGCAUGAGAUCUACGGAUGAAAGCAGGGGAUCGCAAGACCUUGUGCUACUAGAGCGGCCGAUGGCAGAUUAGGUAGUUGGUGGGAUAAAAGCUUACCAAGCCGACAAUCUGUAGCUGGUCUGAGAGGACGAUCAGCCACACUGGGACUGAGACACGGCCCAGGCUCCUACGGGAGGCAGCAGUGGGGAAUUUUGGACAAUGGGCGAAAGCCUGAUCCAGCAAUGCCGCGUGCAGGAUGAAGGCCUUCGGGUUGUAAACUGCUUUUGUACGGAACGAAAAGCCCCGGGUUAAUACCCUGGGGUCAUGACGGUACCGUAAGAAUAAGCACCGGCUAACUACGUGCCAGCAGCCGCCGCGG